This 22-nucleotide non-coding RNA is filed under the name Arabidopsis thaliana (thale cress). The record is from RNAcentral. Lineage: Eukaryota; Viridiplantae; Streptophyta; Magnoliopsida; Brassicales; Brassicaceae.
UCUGCCUUGAACAUCGACAUUG